UUUCUUUAUCAUAUUGUAGUUCAGUUCCUGUAGUUUCAGGUUACUUAUUGUUAGGGAUGGGUGCUGACAUUUCGGGUCCCCUGGCUGGCAGCCAAGAUUCAAGAGCACUGUUUUCUUGCUGUCAAAUCACAUUGCACCAACAUCAAGUUGGAUAUAAAAGUCCCCACAAGUAUCAAUAAAAGACUGAUGGUGCCUUUUAUUAUUCUUUGGGCUGAAGUGAGAAACUGGAAGGCUAAAAGACAUGCGGAUAAAUGUGACAGGCCGAGUAUGCUCUGUAGUGUCAGCUCCUUCCCAAAACCCCGCUAACACUAUGGCAAAGAAAAGGUAUAAACUUACAAGAACGAAGAAAAAUGGAGAGAAAAAGAUAUCAGAGAAGAAAGAUCAGCAGAACUUGGGAACGUGAAAAGUGGAAGGCUGAGUGCUGUCUUGGCAGAAGGGAAAGCUGAGAGGCAGCAGGCCAGCUCACAUCCAAGAACCUCGGAAGAGCUCAGGAAUUGAAGAUCUGAAAGCCGGAAGUCUGAGAUCAGAGUGACAGCAUGGUCAGCCUCUGCUGAGGACUGUCUUCAGGGUUGCAGACUGCAGACUUCUCAUUGUAUCCUCACAUGGUGGAAAGAGCAAGAUAACUUUCUGCGGUCUCCUUUAGAAGAACACUAAUUUCAUUCAUGAUGCCUCCUCUCUCAUGACCUAAUUAUCUUCCAAAGUCCCCACCUCCUAAUACCAUCACACUGGGGUAUGGAUUUCAACAUGUAACUUUUGGUGGGGAGUGGGAGAGGAGUACAAGCAUUCAGUCCAUAAUAACUACAUAAUAAAAAUAUUUAAAAAAUGAAAUUAUUAAACAGGAACACAGUACAA
Molecule: long non-coding RNA, 852 nt
Filed under: Homo sapiens (human)
Lineage: Eukaryota; Metazoa; Chordata; Mammalia; Primates; Hominidae
Description: GNAO1 divergent transcript
Source: RNAcentral